Molecule: ribosomal RNA, 745 nt
Filed under: uncultured Anaerococcus sp.
Lineage: Bacteria; Bacillati; Bacillota; Tissierellia; Tissierellales; Peptoniphilaceae
Description: bacterial SSU rRNA
Rfam family: Bacterial small subunit ribosomal RNA
Source: RNAcentral
GAUAAACGCUGGCGGCGUGCAUAACACAUGCAAGUCGAACGAUGAAGCUUAGAUGAUUUCUUCGGAAUGAACUUAAGUGGAUUAGUGGCGAACGGGUGAGUAGCACGCGAGUAACCUGCCUUACACAAGGGGAUAGCCUCUGGAAACGGAGAAUAAUACCCUAUAAAGUCUAAUCAGCCCAUGCUGGAAAGACCAAAGAUUUAUCGGUGUAAGAUGGACUUGCGUCUGAUUAGCUAGUUGGUGAGAUAAAAGCUCACCAAGGCGACGAUCAGUAGCCGGCUUGAGAGAGUGUACGGCCACAUUGGGACUGAGACACGGCCCAAACUCCUACGGGAGGCAGCAGUGGGGAAUUUUGCACAAUGGGGGAAACCCUGAUGCAGCGACGCCGCGUGAUUUAGAAGGCCUUCGGGUUGUAAAAAUCUUUUUUACGGGAUGAAAAUGACAGUACCGUAAGAAUAAGGUCCGGCUAAAUACGUGCCAGCAGCCGCGGUAAUACGUAUGGACCGAGCGUUGUCCGGAAUCAUUGGGCGUAAAGGGUACGUAGGCGGCCUAGUAAGUUAGAAGUUAAAGAAUAUAGCUCAACUAUAUAAAGCUUUUAAAACUGCUAGGCUUGAGAGAUGGAAGGGAAAGUGGAAUUCCUAGUGUAGCGGUGAAAUGCGCAGAUAUUAGGAAGAAUACCGGUGGCGAAGGCGACUUUCUGGUCAUCAUCUGACGCUGAGGUACGAAAGCGUGGGUAGCAAACAGG